AAACCCUGAACGAACUUUUUGG
This 22-nucleotide microRNA is filed under the name Bos taurus (domestic cattle). RNAcentral's name for it is "bta-miR-2285ba". Lineage: Eukaryota; Metazoa; Chordata; Mammalia; Artiodactyla; Bovidae. The record is from miRBase by way of RNAcentral.